GCUAAGCCAUUAACAUUGAUAGCUAUUAUACAACCUCUCCGCCAGAGAACUACAAGUGAAAAACUUAAAACUCAAAGGACUUGACGGUGUCCCAUAUCGACCUAGAGGAGCCUGUCCUAUAAUCGAUACCCCCCGCUCCACCCAACCCCAACUAGCAUACGUCAGCCUAUAUACCGCCGUCGAUCAGCCUACCCUAUGAAAGUCCAACAGUAGACACAAUAGCCCCACCGCUAAUACGUCAGGUCAAGGUGUAGCAAAUGUUGUGGAAGAGAUUGGCUACAUUUUUUAUUAUAAAAAAUACGAAAUAUACCAUGAAACAGUAUAUGAAGGUGAAUUUAGUAGUAAAAUAAACAAGAGUGUUUAUUUUAACAACGCUCUGGGACGCGUACACACCGCCCGUCACCCUCCUCAACCAACCAAAACACCACUAUUUAUAAACCAACAAAAGUUAAAUAGAGGAGGU
RNAcentral lists this ribosomal RNA (463 nucleotides) under Darevskia valentini. Its description in RNAcentral is "partial 12S ribosomal RNA". Lineage: Eukaryota; Metazoa; Chordata; Lepidosauria; Squamata; Lacertidae. The record is from RNAcentral.